UACGGGGGGGGCAAGCGUUGUUCGGAAUUAUUGGGCGUAAAGCGUGCGCAGGCGGCUUUGCAAGACAGAUGUGAAAUCCCCGGGCUUAACCGGGGAACUGCGUCUGAUACUGGAUGGCUUGAGUUCGGGAGAGGGAAGCGGAAUUCCGGGUGUAGCGGUGAAAUGCGUAGAUAUCCGGAGGAACACCGGUGGCGAAGGCGGCUUCCUGGACCGACACUGACGCUGAGGCGCGAAAGCUAGGGGAGCAAACGGG
RNAcentral lists this ribosomal RNA (253 nucleotides) under uncultured bacterium. RNAcentral describes it as "partial 16S ribosomal RNA". It matches the Rfam family "Bacterial small subunit ribosomal RNA", at positions 524 to 776 of the family's 1533-position model. The record is from RNAcentral.